Non-coding RNA from Phalacrocorax carbo (great cormorant), 1442 nucleotides. Lineage: Eukaryota; Metazoa; Chordata; Aves; Suliformes; Phalacrocoracidae. The record is from RefSeq and is a predicted model, not a curated record.
GCAGGUGGGAAAGUCUCUCCAUAAAGGAUGAAAAUGACAGAGACAGCCAGACAACAUUUGGUUCACUGGAGAAAAAUAUCACAGUUUCUUUCAGGAAGCAGGGGAAACAGCAGAAACUAAACCUAACUAGAAAAGAAGAUCAUAUUUGCUUAUGUUGUUUGAAAUCCAUGAAUGCUUGAUUUAAUACCCUUGCCUGAGAUGGCAGACCAGCAGCCUUUUAUAAGUGAGGGCGCUGAUAUUUUCCGCUAGUCCUCAGUUUAAAAACAGUGACAGGAUUUCAAAGGGAGAAAGAUAAAUACAAUUUUCUGGUGAGAAACACAGUCCAUUAUUCAGAAGACAUUGAGGAUGCAGGAAAAGAGCUGCAACAGGCCAAGCGUGAAUUGUCAGGUUCAGAUGAAGUUUGGAUAGUUUGGAGGAACAUAUUCUUCUGUGGGUUUUUGGAAAUGGAUCUACAACGUCUGCAGUCAAUGCCUUGAGCCACAGAACAGUACUUCUUUUUAGCUGCAGGGAGAAACUGUAUCUUUUACAUUAGUACUAUGUUGGAGUGAGGCUAUGAGCUUACACAAGCAGGUGAUAGUCUGGAGGAAAUCUUUGCCUCUUCCUUUUUCUUAAACCCUGGGAGUAUUUUAUUUUAAGUAUCUGAUAGCAGUGAGGAAACUGAAACUAAUUCAUGGCCUAAGAACAUCCUUCAUCGCUUCUUGCUUCUUGUCAGAAAAACAAUUCCCCGCCACUGGAAGCUUGCACCAGGAAUUUCCCUGCAGGCCAAGUUUCCACCGCCUUGGAACAUCAAAAUGCUGAACUUGCAGUCUGUAGAGAGAAGUUUCUUCCCAGAGAAUGUGAAAGUCAUCUUGAAGUGGUUUUUGCCCUUUUUUUUUUUUUUUUAAAUCUGUAUGUAUAAUAUAAUAUGCACCUUUCUCCUUGCUUCUCCUUUAUGCUGCAAUUGCCUCUAAAAAGGUUUUGAUGCACUUCCUUGUUGCGUAUACAGCAGCUUCAGUGUGUGUAUGGCUCAGCUGGGGGUAACUGUGGCCAAAUAAUGUUUGUAAAUAUUCCCGUCAAUAAAGCUUACUGCCCUUUGGCAUCUUAUUUGUGUGUCUGUACGACUCUGGGGAGUGAGAUUUUAUUCAUGAGUAUAUUUGAAAGCAGGAGUAUCAGGAAAACCAAGUGACUUGUUACAGAAAUGUUUGCACAAAAAUGUUCUCUCAGGAUAAUCUUUUAAAAGCUCUUUCUAUUUUGUUGGUAUAAUGUUCACUAAAUAUAGGCUGAGCUUUUGCAAAACAUUUCAGAGCAGAAAAAUGGGAUUCUUCUUUUUUUACAGUGUGCAGGUCACCCAGUUCUGGAACAGAAAUUGUCCUGCAUGAUUCACAGGGGCAGUCACAAAUAACGGGUGCUCAUUCGCCAGUUUGUGAAUAAACCCCAGGCGAAAAUGUAGUCAUACAUUCAUU